This 230-nucleotide ribosomal RNA is filed under the name uncultured bacterium. RNAcentral's name for it is "partial 16S ribosomal RNA". It matches the Rfam family "Bacterial small subunit ribosomal RNA", at positions 15 to 235 of the family's 1533-position model. The record is from RNAcentral.
GAUCCUGGCUCAGAUUGAACGCUGGCGGCGUGCUUAACACAUGCAAGUCGUACGCGAAAGGGGCUUCGGUCCCGAGUAAAGUGGCGCACGGGUGAGUAACACGUGGAUAAUCUGCCUCUAUGAUGGGGAUAACAGUUGGAAACGACUGCUAAUACCGAAUACGCUCAUAAUGAACUUUGUGAGGAAAGGUGGCCUCUGCUUGCAAGCUAUCGCAUAGAGAUGAGUCCGCG